GACUUGCUCCCCUUACGGGGAGGUGGCACGACAGUAAAUAAAGCCGCCGCUUGCAAGUCAAUUACGAUUGGCAACACAAUCGAAUUGCGGGGACUUCCUCAAGCCUACAGCACCAACCGCCCGGGGAAACUCGGUCGGGGCCCUCUCGAGGGAUGGUUAUAGCCUGUAGGAUACGUGGAAGAUCCGCAGCGCGUUCCCUAACGGCGAGAGCCUACGGGAGCCGUUCACAGACUAAGUGAUUGUGGGCCCGGCAGCUAGCCAGGUCUAAGAUAUAGUCGGUCAUGGCCCGAAAGGACCGUGAAUUCUGCGUCCGUAGGUGAACCUGCGGAAGGAUCAUUAAAAAACACAGCGGGUCCUCUUUGAAAUAUUAACGGGAUGUCUGAACCCUUGAAUACAAACCUUUAGUUGCUUUGGCGGGCUGCCUCCGGGCGUCGGCCUCGGCUGAUUGUGCCCGCCAGAGGACAAAAACUCUUAUGUUUAGUGGAGUCUGAGUACUAUAUAAUAGUUAAAACUUUCAACAACGGAUCUCUUGGUUCUGGCAUCGAUGAAGAACGCAGCGAAAUGCGAUAAGUAAUGUGAAUUGCAGAAUUCAGUGAAAUCAUCGAAUCUUUGAACGCACAUUGCGCCCCUUGGUAUUCCGAGGGGCAUGCCUGUUCGAGCGUCAUAUAAACACAUCCCUUACGGGGUCUUGGGAUCCGCCUCUAGGCGGUCCUUAAAAUCAGUGGCGGUGCCGUCUGGCUCUAAGCGUAGUAAUUAUCCUCGCUAUAGAUUUCAGGUGGUUGCUUGCCAAUAACCCCUAAUUUUCAACGUUUGACCUCGGAUCAGGUAGGGAUACCC
RNAcentral lists this ribosomal RNA (837 nucleotides) under Arbusculina fragmentans. Its description in RNAcentral is "eukaryotic LSU rRNA". The stretch from base 510 to 664 matches the Rfam family "5.8S ribosomal RNA". Lineage: Eukaryota; Fungi; Ascomycota; Leotiomycetes; Helotiales; Hyaloscyphaceae. The record is from RNAcentral.